This 301-nucleotide ribosomal RNA is filed under the name uncultured bacterium. RNAcentral describes it as "partial 16S ribosomal RNA". It matches the Rfam family "Bacterial small subunit ribosomal RNA", at positions 509 to 807 of the family's 1533-position model. The record is from RNAcentral.
CAGUAGCCACGGGAAUACGUAGGGUGCAAGCGUUAUCCGGAAUUACUGGGCGUAAAGCGUGCGCAGGCGGUUCGUUAAGACAGAUGUGAAAUCCCCGGGCUUAACCCGGGAACUGCAUUUGUGACUGGCGAGCUAGAGUAUGGCAGAGGGGGGUAGAAUUCCACGUGUAGCAGUGAAAUGCGUAGAGAUGUGGAGGAAUACCGAUGGCGAAGGCAGCCCCCUGGGCCAAUACUGACGCUCAUGCACGAAAGCGUGGGGAGCAAACAGGAUUAGAUACCCCAGUAGUCCCUGUCUCUUAUAC